RNAcentral lists this ribosomal RNA (560 nucleotides) under uncultured bacterium. RNAcentral describes it as "bacterial SSU rRNA". It matches the Rfam family "Bacterial small subunit ribosomal RNA", at positions 340 to 916 of the family's 1533-position model. The record is from RNAcentral.
UACGGGAGGCAGCAGUGGGGAAUAUUGCACAAUGGGGGAAACCCUGAUGCAGCGACGCCGCGUGAGCGAAGAAGUAUUUCGGUAUGUAAAGCUCUAUCAGCAGGGAAGAAAAUGACGGUACCUGACUAAGAAGCNCCGGCUAAAUACGUGCCAGCAGCCGCGGUAAUACGUAUGGUGCAAGCGUUAUCCGGAUUUACUGGGUGUAAAGGGAGCGUAGACGGAUGGGCAAGUCUGAUGUGAAAACCCGGGGCUCAACCCCGGGACUGCAUUGGAAACUGUUCAUCUAGAGUGCUGGAGAGGUAAGUGGAAUUCCUAGUGUAGCGGUGAAAUGCGUAGAUAUUAGGAGGAACACCAGUGGCGAAGGCGGCUUACUGGACAGUAACUGACGUUGAGGCUCGAAAGCGUGGGGAGCAAACAGGAUUAGAUACCCUGGUAGUCCACGCCGUAAACGAUGACUACUAGGUGUCGGGUGGCAAAGCCAUUCGGUGCCGCAGCAAACGCAAUAAGUAUUCCACCUGGGGAGUACGUUCGCAAGAAUGAAACUCAAAGGAAAUUGACGG